GAAACACCAAAAAGGGAAUUACGUAGCGAUAAGAAGGAUCAAAAUCGGUCCGUUUUGCGUGCAUUUCCAUGCUUCCACCUGAUCAGAACCAAUCAGGGCCGUCGGUUUUCGUGACCAUCCCAUCAAGUUCAACCUUUGGCAGGAAUCGUGUAACCAUUUCUUCUUCUUCUUCUUGCUUCUAUGUUGUUGCCCAAACCGAGAAGGGGCCUGCAACAAAACCAAAACGAGGGAAAAAUCCUUUUUCAAGUUUCAAGGUUAGAGAGUAAAGGAUAGAUUAACCAACGAACUGAGUUCUCUGCCUUGGUGUUUGUUUGGUAUCAACUUCCAGGAAGAACCCAUAAAUUGGGUAAUCGUUCAUCCUUGGUUUAGCGUAUAGUAGAGACAGAGAAACAGAGAGAGACAGAGAGAGGGAGAGGGGUUUCGAGGAAUGCGUGUGGAGGAUGCCGAUGAUCUUGAAAUGAGGGAUUCAAGAUCAGUUCCGAUUUCACCGCGAGCGUACAAAUGGAUGGUGAAUUUCCAUCGGGAUUUGUUGGCGGGGGCUUUCAUGGGCGGACUGGUACACACAAUCGUUGCCCCAAUUGAGAGGGCGAAGCUUCUGUUACAGACCCAAGAGAGCAAUCUGGCGAUUGUUGGGGUUGGGCGAAGGAGGUUUAAGGGUAUGUUCGAUUGUAUUUUUCGCACCGUUCGAGAAGAAGGCGUUCUCUCUCUAUGGAGAGGCAAUGGAAGCAGUGUUAUUCGCUAUUACCCUUCUGUUGCCCUCAAUUUUUCUCUUAAGGAUCUAUAUAAAGACAUGUUAAGGAAUAGCUUUGUAGAUGGUCACUUUCUUUCUGGUCCAUCAGCCAAUUUUAUUGCUGGGGCAGCUGCUGGUUGUUCAACAUUGAUUUUAAUAUACCCUUUAGAUAUUUCGCACACUCGCCUUGCUGCUGAUAUCGGAAGAACCGACGUCCGACAGUUUCGAGGCAUCUGCCAUUUCCUUGCUACCAUACACAAGAAGGAUGGGAUUGGAGGGAUUUACAGGGGCCUUCCAGCCUCUCUACAAGGAAUGGUGGUGCACAGAGGCCUUUAUUUUGGAGGCUUUGACACCAUGAAAGAGAUUUUGGUAGAACAGUCUAAAUCAGAGUUGGCUCUAUGGAAGCGUUGGGGAGUGGCUCAAGUGGUCACAACCUCUGCUGGAUUGUUGUCGUAUCCAUUCGACACGGUUAGAAGGCGAAUGAUGAUGCAAUCUGGGCUGGAUAAGGGGAUGUACAACAGCACCCUAGACUGCUGGAAGACGAUUUACCGAAAGGAGGGGGUUAGCUCUUUCUAUCGAGGCGCCGUUUCGAACAUGUUCAGAAGUACAGGUGCAGCUGCGAUCCUUGUUUUGUACGACGAGGUGAAGAAGUUCAUGAAAUGGGGCGGGUUGUAAUAGAUAGAAGGAACAACACUAUCUGACAUUUGAUGACACAUCUUGUAGGGGUUAGAAACGAGCACGAUAUCGUUGGUGUGAGCGUGUUCCUUAACCGUUCAGCAAUUACAUAAAGAUUGAUUGAUUUUUGUUUGUUAGAUGAGGUGAGCUAGAGAAAAACAGUAGUAAAAAAGAAGAGAUUCUGAUAUGGAAAGGAAGUUAGUUGGCGUCC
Cucurbita maxima (winter squash) is the source of this 1616-nucleotide RNA transcript. It is a transcript of the gene named probable ADP,ATP carrier protein At5g56450, with no coding region annotated. The transcript is spliced from 3 exons. The record is from RefSeq and is a predicted model, not a curated record. NCBI's taxonomy places the organism in Eukaryota, Viridiplantae, Streptophyta, Magnoliopsida, Cucurbitales, Cucurbitaceae.